Molecule: ribosomal RNA, 712 nt
Filed under: uncultured Staphylococcus sp.
Lineage: Bacteria; Bacillati; Bacillota; Bacilli; Caryophanales; Staphylococcaceae
Description: bacterial SSU rRNA
Rfam family: Bacterial small subunit ribosomal RNA
Source: RNAcentral
AGUCGAGCGAACGGACGAGAAGCUUGCUUCUCUGAUGUUAGCGGCGGACGGGUGAGUAACACGUGGAUAACCUACCUAUAAGACUGGGAUAACUUCGGGAAACCGGAGCUAAUACCGGAUAAUAUUUUGAACCGCAUGGUUCAAAAGUGAAAGACGGUCUUGCUGUCACUUAUAGAUGGAUCCGCGCUGCAUUAGCUAGUUGGUAAGGUAACGGCUUACCAAGGCAACGAUGCAUAGCCGACCUGAGAGGGUGAUCGGCCACACUGGAACUGAGACACGGUCCAGACUCCUACGGGAGGCAGCAGUAGGGAAUCUUCCGCAAUGGGCGAAAGCCUGACGGAGCAACGCCGCGUGAGUGAUGAAGGUCUUCGGAUCGUAAAACUCUGUUAUUAGGGAAGAACAUAUGUGUAAGUAACUGUGCACAUCUUGACGGUACCUAAUCAGAAAGCCACGGCUAACUACGUGCCAGCAGCCGCGGUAAUACGUAGGUGGCAAGCGUUAUCCGGAAUUAUUGGGCGUAAAGCGCGCGUAGGCGGUUUUUUAAGUCUGAUGUGAAAGCCCACGGCUCAACCGUAGAGGGUCAUUGGAAACUGGAAAACUUGAGUGCAGAAGAGGAAAGUGGAAUUCCAUGUGUAGCGGUGAAAUGCGCAGAGAUAUGGAGGAACACCAGUGGCGAAGGCGACUUUCUGGUCUGUAACUGACGCUGAUGUGC